Molecule: long non-coding RNA, 273 nt
Filed under: Hordeum vulgare
Lineage: Eukaryota; Viridiplantae; Streptophyta; Magnoliopsida; Poales; Poaceae
Description: long non-coding RNA (HVUL_LNC010418)
Source: RNAcentral
GGCUCGUUCCGUGCUUGACUUACGAGCUCGUGUAGUAAGGCCUCACCCUACUUCAAUAAGGGCUUAUGCACUCCACUCGUAAACGAGCGUUAGAGCUUUUUGAGCGAGCGAGCGAAGCCUUCCUGGAGCUUCCCCCUUCCCUCACCCGAGAAUUGCGAUCUCCUUCCUUUUAUUCGGUGCUUUCCUUUUAUAAGUCACUGCUAUUCUUCCUUGACCCUUCUUACCUUUGCUAGAUUUUGCAUUCCCCUCAUUACUAUUCGGCUCAGUAUUAUC